CAAUAGUCCCUAAAUGUGAGUUCAAAAGGUUUAGUGUGAAAUAUGAUAGUGUGAUGGCCUCGUGUUGUUGGCAAAAUGUAUGUUUGUGAAAAAACUGAAAAAUAAAGAUAAAAAACCUGUAUUUGUAAAACUGUGAACCUAAGAAAAUAAAUGUAGGCGUAGGCUUGUUUAACAUAAAAGUGGAGAUGCAAAUGUAAAAUUGUAACGGUAAAAUAUCCUGUGG
Molecule: non-coding RNA, 223 nt
Organism: Paramuricea clavata
Lineage: Eukaryota; Metazoa; Cnidaria; Anthozoa; Malacalcyonacea; Plexauridae
Source: the annotation of a GenBank genome assembly